Long non-coding RNA from Mercenaria mercenaria, 1756 nucleotides. RefSeq lists it as uncharacterized. The record is from RefSeq and is a predicted model, not a curated record. The transcript is spliced from 3 exons. NCBI's taxonomy places the organism in Eukaryota, Metazoa, Mollusca, Bivalvia, Venerida, Veneridae.
AGAAUUCAUUCAUUUUGAAAAUCUCAAGAUUUGUUUGGAUUAUACUUAGGUAUUCAAAUUAACUGAAAUGAAACAAGGAAUCUAACUAAUUAAAAUUUAUGUUAAUGUUUACAUUUUGUGUAUUAAAAGGAUGUAAAUUAGAAUUCUAUCAUUUUAUUUAUAAAUUAUAAUUAAUGUAACAAGAUAUAUCAUUGAAAAUUAUUAAGGCCCUAUUUAAUUGAAGCUAUUUAUUUUUUGGUUAUUGAACACCUCAAACAACAGCACCUGAUAAUAGGCAUUAAAAGACAUGUCAUAAGUACAAUAAAUUGUAAAUGAUAUUAUGCUUUUAAUAUAAUGUUACAUCAUCAUAACUGAAUAAGUCUAUUCUUUUGAUGAUUGGCAGUGAUUAAUUAUCUUGCUUUUACAGCCAAUUAAUAUACUGCUGUUCAAUGUAUACAGAUGUGUUAACACACAGAGAUAUAGCUUAUCUGAUCAAGAUAAGGACCAAUGAAAAUACAGGCUUCUGAAGCCAUUUUACACCUGUACCCCAAAAAAUAAUCCCAAUAUUUCUGCUUGGGUUUUUUUUUUUUUUUUAUGUGACCUUUGCAAAAUUACUGCUGUGUAUUGCUGUGAGCAAAUAAAUGGUCAAAUUUCCCCAUGAACUGUAUAUUUCUAUAUUUUAAGAACAUUCUAUAUAUUCCCUUCAGUAACUAUAUUGUACCAAAGAAAAUGGCUCAUGAAUACAAAAAUUUGAAUGUAAACAGGUUUGUUCAUGUUGUUGGAGGCAAACAGAAUAGAGCUCACUUGAAACUCUAAAAUGCUUUUAGAGAGAUAUCAGAUGAAAGAGUGUGCAUAUCUAGUUAUUUGAAGUAUGCCUAUGUAUGUAAUGAUGUAGUCAGAGAAAUCAGAUGGCUUCAGUGACUAUGCUACAGGAUGAUAUGAGAUCACAGGCAGAAAUUCCAUCAAGGAUCAAGCAUUAAUUACAGAAUAUUUCAACUAUAAUGCAAAUGGCUGGAAUGAAGUUCCUGACACUGGUGAUGGUUUUGGAAAAGCAAAGAGACAUUCUGAUGCCACCUUGUAUUGAGCCUAUGAUACUCUAAAAAAUUUUCUAUCAAAUUAUUUUGAUAUUUAAUAUAUCUUUUAGUUUAAUUUUCAUGUUUAAGCUAAGUAAAUUUUUAUUUUUCUUAACCACAGAUGUAAAAGCUGCUGGCAGAUGUGUUAUUCCCCUUUGAAUUUUAUACUUUUUGUGUUUUUGAAACCCAGACCUGUCUCAAUAUUUUAUUAAAAUAAUUUUGUAAUAAUAUUUCUUUUUUUUUUCUUUCCACUUUUCCUCAGUGCCAGGCCUAAUUCAGAAAUGCCAAAGAUUUUCAAUCUUUUUCUACGUUGCAAUUCUUUGAAAUUGUUUGGAUUUUCAUAACAAAUCUCAAUUGAAUUCAUAGGAAUUCACUGGAAAUUUGUGUCAAUACCAGCAAUGUUUUCCAAUGGUUUUCCAUCAAACUUUUCCAAACUUUUGCAAAGAAUGCUUAGAAAUUCCUUGAACUUUACUGCAAUGAUUUCCAAUGAAUUUUCAAAGAAUUCCAUGCCGAUUUUCAACUGCAUGUUCCCCUGGGUAUGUGAAUUUAAAUUCAAAUUAAUUUUCAGACUUCUCUACUCAAAAAUUCAAAGAAAAUUUCAACCUGGGAAAUUUUCCAAGGUUUCCGUGGUUUUUUAAAACUGAGAACAUUUUAUAUGCUUCUCAGUUUUUAGAACCUUGGAUAUUUUACAAGGAUUUCUGUGG